UUAAGAAUUAUUUUAAGCUGGAGAAUAUUUGAUUGUUGAUCGAAAGGUAUAUUUCUUAA
Molecule: transfer RNA, 59 nt
Filed under: Gnathostoma sp. MMS-2017
Lineage: Eukaryota; Metazoa; Nematoda; Chromadorea; Rhabditida; Gnathostomatidae
Description: tRNA-Asn
Source: RNAcentral